UAAUGAUUUUAGAUAUAAGUUAAAUUGAGAUUGAAAAACCCAUUAGGAUGGAAUUAAAACACCAUUUAAUAUUAAAAUUACAACUAUCAAUCUCAACCCAAACCCUAAAACUAAAAUCCAUUUUGGAUCUGGAAAAGGCGAAGCUGACGGUGAACCAUGAGCGUCGAUGCUAGUGAUUCCUCAACUUACUUUGGUGAACUGAUCAGGGUCCUUGUCGAGAAAUGGCCGGGUACCGAUGGUAAAAUGACGCUCGGUUUGCACUUUUUGGAUCUGGAAAGGGAUGAAGUCUUUAUUAGAGCGAUGCCACCUGAUGCUUCUUUAUCUUCCACUGCCGUUGCCUGUGGCAACCACGUUUACGUUCUUGGGGGAAUACGCAAAAAUGAUGCUACUAUUUUUGGUUAUGAUGAUGUAAACGACGUUUUCCAAUUAGAUUUGAAGGACCUUGAACAUGGGUGGAGAAAAACUACUUCUAUGUUGUUCCCUCGGUCUUUUCCCCUGGUUCUUGCUGCUGAAGGAAAGAUUUACGUCUUCGAACGUAUGGGUUCUGAAUCUUUUGGCUAGGUUUACGAUAUAAGUGGGGAUAUUUGGGAACCAUUGUUGCCCCGUCCGGAAGGUAUCAGUUUAUGCGAUCCUGUUCUAGAUUCUUUCCGAUCUCGGAUUUUGGUGCACUGCAAUGCCAAUGAUACUCUUUACGCUUAUUACUAUGAUAGAAAAUCAUGGGUUUGCCUCGGACAAAAAUUUUGUUACUGGUCUGAAUCGGCGACAAUCGUGGACGAUGUGCUGUAUACUGUCAUUUAUAAUUAUUCUGGUAAGUUCCGUUCUUUGGAGGCGUAUAAUUUGCUUGAUAAGAAACAUUUGCCCGUUAAAUGGUCAUCAGAAUUUUCAGUGGAUCUAACAAUGAAAGGCAUUCUGUAUCGUUUGGGCAAUGGCAAGUGUAUUUUGGGUUGGGUCAACCAUAAACAUAUGAGUUUUGAGUACUUAAGAUUAACUAUUUGGUGCAACGAGCAGUGAGGGAUUCAUGCAGCUGCAGAGCAUCAAUCUGUCAUCACUGUUCCAUAUCCCAAAGAUGUUUCUGAUGUAAUGUUGUUCUGAAUGAAGCUCCAACACGUAAGAAGUCAAAAAUGAAAAUGGAAUGAAUUACAUAUGAAGAUGAAUGCUGCAGACUGCGGAGGUAUAUCUGAAAAACCAUUAAUAGAUUAUUUGUUUUGUUGGUUGUUGUGAGUGAAUAACUGUGGGUUUGAAAAGAUAGGGAGUUAUAAUAAUAAUGAUCUUACUCACUUUUCAUUGCUGUAAAAGGUCAUGGAAGCUUUUAUUAUUAUUAUUAACAAUGUUAAGUUUUAGGGCUUAUUUGGUGCCUUCUGAUGGGGGUGUGCUGGGGGAUUUGUGUGUAUAUAUUUUGGUUAAAACUUUGAACUUGAUGAUGUAAUUGGGUGCUGAUACCGAAAUAUUGAGAAAGUUAAAAUUAUAUAGUAUUGUGAUUUUACACUUUA
Long non-coding RNA from Gossypium arboreum, 1490 nucleotides. RefSeq lists it as uncharacterized. Lineage: Eukaryota; Viridiplantae; Streptophyta; Magnoliopsida; Malvales; Malvaceae. The transcript is spliced from 2 exons. The record is from RefSeq and is a predicted model, not a curated record.